RNAcentral lists this non-coding RNA (27 nucleotides) under Homo sapiens (human). Lineage: Eukaryota; Metazoa; Chordata; Mammalia; Primates; Hominidae. The record is from RNAcentral.
UGUCCUCAACUAGGUCCAUGGGCACAA